GUGCUUAACACAUGCAAGUCGAACGGAAAGGCCCUUCGGGGUACUCGAGUGGCGAACGGGUGAGUAACACGUGGGUGAUCUGCCCUGCACUUUGGGAUAAGCCUGGGAAACUGGGUCUAAUACCGGAUAGGACCACGCGCUUCAUGGUGUGUGGUGGAAAGCUUUUGCGGUGUGGGAUGGGCCCGCGGCCUAUCAGCUUGUUGGUGGGGUAAUGGCCUACCAAGGCGACGACGGGUAGCCGGCCUGAGAGGGUGACCGGCCACACUGGGACUGAGAUACGGCCCAGACUCCUACGGGAGGCAGCAGUGGGGAAUAUUGCACAAUGGGCGCAAGCCUGAUGCAGCGACGCCGCGUGAGGGAUGACGGCCUUCGGGUUGUAAACCUCUUUCAAUAGGGACGAAGCGCAAGUGACGGUACCUAUAGAAGAAGGACCGGCCAACUACGUGCCAGCAGCCGCGGUAAUACGUAGGGUCCGAGCGUUGUCCGGAAUUACUGGGCGUAAAGAGCUCGUAAGUGGUUUGUCGCGUUGUUCGUGAAAUC
RNAcentral lists this ribosomal RNA (540 nucleotides) under Mycolicibacterium senegalense. RNAcentral describes it as "bacterial SSU rRNA". It matches the Rfam family "Bacterial small subunit ribosomal RNA", at positions 44 to 601 of the family's 1533-position model. The record is from RNAcentral. Lineage: Bacteria; Bacillati; Actinomycetota; Actinomycetes; Mycobacteriales; Mycobacteriaceae.